GAAUAGAGUUUACUCCGAGCCGGUUUCACCUAAAGGGAAUUCCAUGGUAACCGGCCAGGGCUUAUAGCCCUCAGGGUAUGUCUGGAAACGGAUAUGCCUUCACGUUUGAAAAGGAGGUGGUUAGUUCAUGGC
RNAcentral lists this non-coding RNA (132 nucleotides) under Peptococcaceae bacterium CEB3. Its description in RNAcentral is "Desulfitobacterium sp. enrichment culture clone CEB3 Molybdenum/Tungsten riboswitch aptamer (Moco RNA motif)". It matches the Rfam family "Molybdenum/Tungsten riboswitch aptamer (Moco RNA motif)". Lineage: Bacteria; Bacillati; Bacillota; Clostridia; Eubacteriales; Peptococcaceae. RNAcentral also lists the same sequence under 1 other name. The record is from Rfam by way of RNAcentral.